Molecule: long non-coding RNA, 617 nt
Organism: Danio aesculapii
Lineage: Eukaryota; Metazoa; Chordata; Actinopteri; Cypriniformes; Danionidae
Exons: 3
Source: RefSeq, a predicted model, not a curated record
UUCUGACACUAAUGCAUUUCAAACAUCAGAGGUGUGUGAGCAAUACGAGAGGAUGAAGAGUGAGACACAUCUUAGAGAGAGGAAGAGGAGAAAACCUGGUUGGCGUUCAUGCAGGGUUGAGCCUCUGGGAGGAAGUGACUCAAGCAGCGGAAUUAAAGGGCCAAGACAAUAACCUCAAAGAUUUGGAGGUCGGUGGCCUCUAACCAUUAUUUGGAGCUUGGGCAGAUCCUCAGCGGAGCUCCGAUCAAUCUUUUACCUGGGGAACGAGUGCUGCGUAUUUCUAUCACCAUUCUAUUGAUUUUUCCAUGCGCAGAGCCCUUAUGUGAGAGAGAGAGGUGUUUUCAUGUGGACACCACAGAGAAAACGCAGCCUGCAGCACACACACACUCAUUUAUUUAUGCUUGCAGACGCCCGUUGGCACAGACGACUGCAAAAUGCACACAUCGGCAUAUUUAGCCGAUUUUCUGAUCUCACAUGCACAAGUCCAAAAGGCCUAACAUAUGAGCAGAAACUUUUAAAUUCAGAAAGUGAAUGCCCUUUCUUUCAUUCACUUCUUGUCUAACGGAUUCACUUGUGCGUUGUGGUGAUUUUCUGUUACACUCUCUGCUAGUGUUUUC